UCACACUGAAAAUGGCCUCAGGUGUUUCAGUGACCUGAGGUCAGAUACGUGAGCCGAAAUGAUUCUGGGUCGUUGCGCUUAUCGCCUGCCUCACCUGCUGGCAGAGGGAUUAAACCCAUGCCCCUACAAAC
Small nucleolar RNA from Nematolebias whitei (Rio pearlfish), 131 nucleotides. RefSeq annotates it as small nucleolar RNA ACA64. Lineage: Eukaryota; Metazoa; Chordata; Actinopteri; Cyprinodontiformes; Rivulidae. The transcript has a single exon. The record is from RefSeq and is a predicted model, not a curated record.